This 824-nucleotide long non-coding RNA is filed under the name Gallus gallus (chicken). Its description in RNAcentral is "lncRNA (ENSGALG00010006601.1)". Lineage: Eukaryota; Metazoa; Chordata; Aves; Galliformes; Phasianidae. The record is from RNAcentral.
GAAAGAUUUUACAUGUAAGUUGGUCCUACAGAUUUAGCUGCCUGUGGAUUCAUACCCAUGUUUCUGGUCCUUGGUACAUUGCACCAAGUCAGGUACAUAGCAUGCCAAAUUGCUCUGCUGCUGGCCUAUAAGCCCAUCUGAAUACUCAGGCAGUGCUGGGCACACUCAGCAGAGCUUUGAAUUCAGGUCUGGAAACACACAGCCCUCUCUGGCACUCUGUGGGGCAAUGCUUCAGAGCGUAUUCUUUCAGGGAAAUAUAGGAUCUCUGUACAGCAUCAGAAUAUCACAUGGGUUCAUGUGUGGGCCUGACGUCUCCUUUUUUGUCAUCCUACAUUUGCCUCCCAUACUUUUGGCACCAUUAAAAAAAAUAAUAAUGGUCUUUAUAUUUCCACUCUCCAUCAUCACUAUGAAUCCUGCUUGGAUCAGCAGAAUUUGCACAUCUAUUUUAGACCAUCUGCAUUAUCCUUCCGCAGCAGGUGAAAAACACUGGUGGGCUCGGAAUAGCAGCAAUGGCUGCAGAUUAACACAGCACCUCUCACAAAAAGGCUCGCUGGAGGCGUGGGAAACAGCAGAGACUCACUUCUAUUUAAAAAGAAGCAGUUAGCCUCCUUUAUCCAGGACAUCAACCAGAAAAGCACAGUCUACUUCUCCAAGCAAACGUGAACAUUUUCAGAGGAAAUCUGCUUACUCCAUGUUCUUCAUGCUUUGUAUGUCCUACUGCAUAGUUAGUGCCAUGAUUGGUAGAAAAAGACACAGCCUGGGGAGAAAGUCUGUAUGAGCAUCUGUAUCUUUUGUUAAUAAACAACUGUGUGGCAGAAACUGAA